Molecule: transfer RNA, 73 nt
Filed under: Prototheca zopfii
Lineage: Eukaryota; Viridiplantae; Chlorophyta; Trebouxiophyceae; Chlorellales; Chlorellaceae
Description: tRNA-Val
Rfam family: tRNA
About the family: Transfer RNA (tRNA) molecules are approximately 80 nucleotides in length. Their secondary structure includes four short double-helical elements and three loops (D, anti-codon, and T loops).
Source: RNAcentral
AGGUCUUUAGCUCAGUUGGUAGAGCAUUUGUCUUACAAACAAGGUGUCAUCGGUUCAAAUCCGGUAAGGCCUA